AAACUAGACUAGAUAAAGCCGCC
RNAcentral lists this non-coding RNA (23 nucleotides) under Arabidopsis thaliana (thale cress). Lineage: Eukaryota; Viridiplantae; Streptophyta; Magnoliopsida; Brassicales; Brassicaceae. The record is from RNAcentral.